AAAGAUUAAGCCAUGCAUGUCUAAGUAUAAGCAAUUAUACCGCGAAACUGCGAAUGGCUCAUUAUAUAAGUUAUCGUUUAUUUGAUAAUACUUUACUACUUGGAUAACCGUGGUAAUUCUAGAGCUAAUACAUGCUGAAAAUCCCGACUUCGGAAGGGAUGUAUUUAUUAGAUUAAAAACCAAUGCCCCUCGGGGCUCUCUGGUGAAUCAUGAUAACUAGUCGAAUCGACAGGCCUUGUGCCGGCGAUGGCUCAUUCAAAUUUCUUCCCUAUCAACUUUCGAUGUUUGGGUAUUGGCCAAACAUGGUGG
Molecule: ribosomal RNA, 309 nt
Filed under: uncultured Hypocreales
Lineage: Eukaryota; Fungi; Ascomycota; Sordariomycetes; Hypocreales
Description: SSU rRNA
Rfam family: Eukaryotic small subunit ribosomal RNA
Source: RNAcentral